UACGUAGGUGGCAAGCGUUGUCCGGAUUUACUGGGCGUAAAGGGCGCGCAGGCGGUCGUGCAAGUCGCGUGUGAAAGCCCCCGGCUCAACUGGGGGAGGGUCACGCGAUACUGCUCGACUUGAAGGCAGGAGAGGGAAGCGGAAUUCCCGGUGUAGUGGUGAAAUGCGUAGAUAUCGGGAAGAACACCCGUGGCGAAGGCGGCUCUCUGGGACGGUACUGACGCUGAGACGCGAAAGCGUGGGGAGCGAACAGG
RNAcentral lists this ribosomal RNA (254 nucleotides) under uncultured bacterium. RNAcentral describes it as "partial 16S ribosomal RNA". It matches the Rfam family "Bacterial small subunit ribosomal RNA", at positions 524 to 776 of the family's 1533-position model. The record is from RNAcentral.